GGCAAUAUUGGGUCAGUUUUCACCAAUGAUAUUUAAUUUGCUGUCCAGUUCAAGUGUUUCACGGAUUGAAGCGUUGAUCGCGGUGAUAUAGACAAGAGUUUGAAAGAUUGCAAUGGCAAAAACUUGCGCACAGCUUUUAAUAUUUAUGAUGGCCACCUUUUUGGCGGUAAACUUGGUGUCAGCUGUUCAGGAAAAAAACGGAACUUUGACUUCCGGUUCCAACGUGAUGGAAUCUUGUUACUUCCGGUGCUGGCAGGAUUACUCUCACUGUUUUAAGUUAUUUAAAUGCUCGCUCAGAACCGACGGCUGCAAAGAGUAUUGUGGACGAAGAAACAGACAAUGUCAACAGCUUUGUGACAGAGCAGAAAACAAUAAAUGAUUGAUGAAAAUUGUGUAUUGUUUAAUAAAGUCAGUAAAUUUGA
Molecule: long non-coding RNA, 422 nt
Organism: Magallana angulata
Lineage: Eukaryota; Metazoa; Mollusca; Bivalvia; Ostreida; Ostreidae
Exons: 2
Source: RefSeq, a predicted model, not a curated record